RNAcentral lists this ribosomal RNA (253 nucleotides) under uncultured bacterium. Its description in RNAcentral is "partial 16S ribosomal RNA". It matches the Rfam family "Bacterial small subunit ribosomal RNA", at positions 524 to 776 of the family's 1533-position model. The record is from RNAcentral.
AACGUAGGAGGCAAGCGUUAUCCGGAUUUACUGGGCGUAAAGCGCCAGCAGGCGGUGUUCUAAGUUGGACGUGAAAUCUCCUGGCUUAACUGGGAGGGGCCGUUCAAUACUGGGACACUUGAGGGCAGGAGAGGGAGGUGGAAUUCCCGGUGUAGCGGUGGAAUGCGCAGAUAUCGGGAGGAACACCAGUGGCGAAGGCGGCUUCCUGGCCUGUUCCUGACGCUCAGUGGCGAAAGCUAGGGGAGCGAACGGG